UAGGGAAUGGCAGGGGCUGGCAUAGGAGUGAGGGGGAGGAGGCAAGGUGAGGGGGGCCAGGUGAGGAGGGGGGCACUUGAAGGGGAGUUCAAGACCAGCCUGGGCAACAUGGUGAGACCACCGCCCCUCACCGCCGCCAUCUCUGGUCUCACUCUGGUCUCACACACAUGCACAAAUUAAAUUUAAUUUAAAAAUUAAAAAAUUGUUUUAAAAUAAGUGAAAUGUUUACAUGGAUUACGUAUACAUUCAUUUUGUAGAACUAUAGAUCCCAUGUAACUGGGAACUCUUUACUCUUCUAACACAACAUUUAUUUAGCCACAAAUAAAAGACCAGUGAUGUAGCCUGUACACAAAAAAGUAAGAAAACACUGGUUAGGCUGGGGCAGGGGUGGGGGGAAGAGAUCUACAAAAUUAAAAUUUUAUUGGGAAGGAUCACUAAUUAGAAUCAGAACAAUUACUGCUUUAAAGUAGUUAAGAACAGAGCACAAGGAACCCAGAGAAGAAGCAGAUAUGAUUCAGAGCAGAACUUACAGAGCAGAUGGUAUCUGAGCCGAGACUGAUAGAAUAACAUUAAUAAGGGCAUUCACGGCCAUUUAUUAUCACUUAACUGCAAUGCAUUUUGUAUAAGUUAUUUCUACUCUUCAUAUCAACCAUGGAAAAUAAUACUUAUUCUUCUCUUUUGAAGUUAAAGAAGUGGUAAGUGGUCUAAGAAGAUAAAUUAACAUACCAACACCAAAUAGCUCAAGUUCAGUGACUCAAGAGGGCCCGUGUCUCCCCAAGAGGUUGCUCAGCAGGCAGACGAGGUAGAGAGCCCUUCCAAGAAGUGACAGUGAGAUGUGAAAAGUCUCAGUGUGUCUCUGAGAACAACAGAAACCAGUGUGUAGACCAAGUGGGAAAAGCCACGGAAGAGGCAGGGAUUUCCUCUUAAGAUAGCAAGAAUAAACAGAGCAGGGCUGAGGGAAGCCAUGGAAAAUGGGCAGAAUACCAUGCAUUUAGUGAGAAAAAAACAACUUUUACUUUAGAAAGGGGGAAAGAAUGGUGGUGGUCUAGGUAAGCCUAGAAGCAGAGGAAAGGGCAAUGGAGAAAAAAUAAACAAAAUGUAUGAGUCAGGGUUCUCCAGAGGGACAGAACCAACAAGAUGCAUGUAUAUGUAUAAGGGAGUUUACCAGAGAGAAUUGGUUCACACGGUUAGAAGGCAGUCCCACAAUAGGCUGUCUGCCAGGUAGGGAAAGAGAGAAGCUAGUAGUGGCUCAGUCCAAGUCCAAAAGCCUCAAAACCAGGAAAGCCCGCAGUGCAGUCUUCAGUAUGAGGCCGAGGGCCUGAGAGCCUCGGGGAAGCUGCUGGUGCAAGUCCCAGAGUCCAAAGGCAUAAGAACCUGGAGUCUCAUGUCCGAGGGCAGGAAGAAGGGAAGCAAGUGUCCUGCACGGGAAGAAGAAAAAAAGAGAGACAGAAGCUUCAGCUAGCAAGGUUAUCCCAUCUUCCUCCGCCUGCUUUAUUCUAUACAGUGCAGCAUGUGUACACCACUUCUGUGAUAUUGUUUCUAAUAUCCAUGGGAAGAAAGAGUGAUGUUACUCCCAAUAGCAUAUGGGGGUGUACAUCCCCUGUGAUAUUAUUCCUAGCAUGCAGGGGCAGGGAAAGGAUGACAUUACUCCCAAUAUCGCAGAGGGUGUACUCCCCGCCUUGUGAUAUUGUUCCUAAUAUUUAGGGGAUAGUGGGUGAUAUUACUCCCAAUAUCACAGGGGGUGUGCACCCCCCGUGGUAUUCUUCCUAAUAUCCGGGGUGGGGGGAGAGGUUGAUAUUACUGUCAAUGUCACAGGGGGUGUACAUCCUCCCGUGGUAUUGUUCCUAAUAUCUGGGGGAGAGGAAAUUACUGUCAAUAUCACAGUGGGUGUACACCUCUUCUGUGAUAUUGUUCCUAAUAUCCGG
This 1925-nucleotide long non-coding RNA is filed under the name Homo sapiens (human). RNAcentral's name for it is "LNC_000009". Lineage: Eukaryota; Metazoa; Chordata; Mammalia; Primates; Hominidae. The record is from RNAcentral.